AAAACGACUCUCGGCAACGGAUAUCUCGGCUCUCGCAUCGAUGAAGAACGUAGCGAAAUGCGAUACUUGGUGUGAAUUGCAGAAUCCCGUGAACCAUCGAGUCUUUGAACGCGAGUUGCGCCCGAAGCCAUUAGGCCGAGGGCACGCCUGCCUGGGUGUCGCGC
RNAcentral lists this ribosomal RNA (164 nucleotides) under Behaimia cubensis. RNAcentral describes it as "5.8S ribosomal RNA". It matches the Rfam family "5.8S ribosomal RNA". Rfam says of the family: 5.8S ribosomal RNA (5.8S rRNA) is a component of the large subunit of the eukaryotic ribosome. The record is from RNAcentral. Lineage: Eukaryota; Viridiplantae; Streptophyta; Magnoliopsida; Fabales; Fabaceae.